CCUACGGGAGGCAGCAGUAGGGAAUCUUCCACAAUGGACGCAAGUCUGAUGGAGCAACGCCGCGUGAGUGAAGAAGGUUUUCGGAUCGUAAAGCUCUGUUGUUGGUGAAGAAGGAUAGAGGUAGUAACUGGCCUUUAUUUGACGGUAAUUACUUAGAAAGUCACGGCUAACUACGUGCCAGCAGCCGCGGUAAUACGUAGGUGGCA
Molecule: ribosomal RNA, 206 nt
Filed under: uncultured bacterium
Lineage: Bacteria
Description: partial 16S ribosomal RNA
Rfam family: Bacterial small subunit ribosomal RNA
Source: RNAcentral